This 595-nucleotide ribosomal RNA is filed under the name uncultured bacterium. Its description in RNAcentral is "bacterial SSU rRNA". It matches the Rfam family "Bacterial small subunit ribosomal RNA", at positions 264 to 858 of the family's 1533-position model. The record is from RNAcentral.
CCUGCCAAGGCGAUGAUGUUUAGGGGGCCUGAGAGGGUGAUCCCCCACACUGGUACUGAGACACGGACCAGACUCCUACGGGAGGCAGCAGUGAGGAAUAUUGGUCAAUGGGCGGCAGCCUGAACCAGCCAUCCCGCGUGAAGGAAGAAUGCGCUAUGCGUUGUAAACUUCUUUUCCAGGAGAAUAAAAUGCCAUACGUGUAUGGUACUGAAGGUAUCCUGGGAAUAAGCAUCGGCUAACUCCGUGCCAGCAGCCGCGGUAAUACGGAGGAUGCGAGCGUUAUCCGGAUUUAUUGGGUUUAAAGGGUGCGUAGGCGGGAUUAUAAGUCAGUGGUGAAAACCUGCAGCUUAACUGUAGACUUGCCAUUGAUACUGUAGUUCUUGAGUGUGGUCAAGGCAGGCGGAAUGUGUAAUGUAGCGGUGAAAUGCUUAGAUAUUACACAGAACACCGAUUGCGAAGGCAGCUUGCUGGGCCAAUACUGACGCUGAGGCACGAAAGCGUGGGGAUCAAACAGGAUUAGAUACCCUGGUAGUCCACGCCGUAAACGAUGAUCACUAGCUGUUGGCGAUAUACCGUUCAGCGGCAAAGCAAAAGC